UUAGCCACACAAAGGCUAAGUCGCCCCG
This 28-nucleotide non-coding RNA is filed under the name Cricetulus griseus (Chinese hamster). The record is from RNAcentral. Lineage: Eukaryota; Metazoa; Chordata; Mammalia; Rodentia; Cricetidae.